AGAGUUUGAUCCUGGCUCAGAAUCAACGCUGGCGGCGCGCUUAACACAUGCAAGUCGCACGAGAAAGUGGAGCAAUCCAUGAGUACAGUGGCGUACGGGUGAGUAACACGUGGAUCAUCUACCUCUUAGUGGGGAAUAACCCUGGGAAACCGGGGCUAAUACCGCAUAAGCUCGAGAGAGGAAAGCAGCAAUGCGCUGAGAGAGGAGUCCGCGGCCGAUUAGCUAGUUGGCAGGGUAAAAGCCUACCAAGGCAAAGAUCGGUAGCCGGCCCGAGAGGGCACACGGCCACACUGGCACUGAAACACGGGCCAGACUCCUACGGGAGGCAGCAGUGGGGAAUCUUGCACAAUGGGGGAAACCCUGAUGCAGCGACGCCGCGUGAGCGAUGAAGCCCUUCGGGGUGUAAAGCUCUUUCGGCAGGGACGAUCAUGACGGUACCUGCAGAAGCAGCUGCGGCUAACUACGUGCCAGCAGCCGCGGUAAUACGUAGGCAGCGAGCGUUGUUCGGAGUUACUGGGCGUAAAGGGUGUGUAGGCGGUUGCUUAAGUUUGGUGUGAAAUCUCCCGGCUCAACUGGGAGGGUGCGCCGAAUACUGAGUGACUCGAGUGCGGGAGAGGAGAGUGGAAUUCCUGGUGUAGCGGUGAAAUGCGUAGAUAUCAGGAGGAACACCGGCGGUGUAGACGGCUCUCUGGACCGUAACUGACGCUGAGACACGAAAGCGUGGGUAGCAAACAGGAUUAGAUACCCUGGUAGUCCACGCCCUAAACGAUGCAUAUUUGGUGUGGGUCAUUCAGUUGAUCCGUGCCGGAGCUAACGCGUUAAAUAUGCCGCCUGGGGAGUACAGUCGCAAGGCUGAAACUCAAAGGAAUUGACAGGGGCCCGCACAAGCGGUGGAGCAUGUGGUUCAAUUCGACGCAACGCGAAGAACCUUACCUGGGCUCGAACGGCUGGUUACCGGCGU
Molecule: ribosomal RNA, 961 nt
Filed under: uncultured bacterium
Lineage: Bacteria
Description: bacterial SSU rRNA
Rfam family: Bacterial small subunit ribosomal RNA
Source: RNAcentral